RNAcentral lists this ribosomal RNA (595 nucleotides) under uncultured bacterium. Its description in RNAcentral is "bacterial SSU rRNA". It matches the Rfam family "Bacterial small subunit ribosomal RNA", at positions 28 to 638 of the family's 1533-position model. The record is from RNAcentral.
AAUGAACGUGGCGGCGUGGAUUAGGCAUGCAAGUCGAGCGAGAACCCGCAAGGGGGGACAGCGGCGAAAGGGACAGUAACGUGUAGAUCAUCUGCCCUCAGGUCCCGGGAUAGCUGCGGGAAACUGCAGGUAAUACCGGAUAAUGUCUCCGGACCAAAGGUGUGAUUCCGUCUGGGGAUGAGUCUACAUCCUAUUAGCUAGUUGGUGGGGUAACGGCCUACCAAGGCGAUGAUGGGUAGCGGGUGUGAGAGCACGACCCGCGUCACUGGGACUGAGACACUGCCCAGACACCUACGGGUGGCUGCAGUCGAGAAUCUUCGGCAAUGGGCGCAAGCCUGACCGAGCGACGCCGCGUGUGGGAUGAAGGCCUUCGGGUUGUAAACCACUGUCAGAGGGGAUGAAAUACAGGUGGGUACUCCCAUCUGCUUGACAUAUCCUCAGAGGAAGGACGGGCUAAGUUCGUGCCAGCAGCCGCGGUAAGACGAACCGUCCAAACGUUAUUCGGAAUUACUGGGCUUAAAGGGUGCGUAGGCGGCGCGGAAAGUUGGGUGUGAAAUCCCUCGGCUCAACCGAGGAACAGCGCCCAAAACUGCCG